GGGUUUACUGUGGUAACCCAUAUAUUAAAAUGGGAACUAUACAGAGUUUAGUGUUGACCUUGAGGAAGGAUGACAUGCACAUUUCUGAUACGUUCCAUUUUUUU
Small nuclear RNA from Rhineura floridana, 104 nucleotides. NCBI's taxonomy places the organism in Eukaryota, Metazoa, Chordata, Lepidosauria, Squamata, Rhineuridae. The record is from RefSeq and is a predicted model, not a curated record.